Molecule: ribosomal RNA, 747 nt
Filed under: uncultured bacterium
Lineage: Bacteria
Description: bacterial SSU rRNA
Rfam family: Bacterial small subunit ribosomal RNA
Source: RNAcentral
GCAGUCGACGGUGAUGGGGAGCUUGCUCCUCUGAUCAGUGGCGAACGGGUGAGUAACACGUGAGUAACCUGCCCUUCACUCUGGGAUAACGUCGGGAAACCGGUGCUAAUACUGGAUAUGACCUGCUCGGGCAUCCGAUGUGGGUGGAAAGAUUUAUUGGUGGAGGAUGGACUCGCGGCCUAUCAGCUUGUUGGUGAGGUAAUGGCUCACCAAGGCGACGACGGGUAGCCGGCCUGAGAGGGCGAUCGGCCACACUGGGACUGAGGCACGGCCCAGACUCCUACGGGAGGCAGCAGUGGGGAAUAUUGCACAAUGGGCGAAAGCCUGAUGCAGCGACGCCGCGUGAGGGAUGAAGGCCUUCGGGUUGUAAACCUCUUUCAGCAGGGAAGAAGCGGCCGGGUUUUCUUGGUUGUGACGGUACCUGCAGAAGAAGCACCGGCUAACUACGUGCCAGCAGCCGCGGUAAUACGUAGGGUGCAAGCGUUGUCCGGAAUUAUUGGGCGUAAAGAGCUUGUAGGUGGUUUGUCGCGUCUGUUGUGAAAUUUCGGGGCUCAACCCCGAACUUGCAGUGGAUACGGGCAGACUAGAGUGUGGUAGGGGAGACUGGAAUUCCUGGUGUAGCGGUGAAAUGCGCAGAUAUCAGGAGGAACACCGAUGGCGAAGGCAGGUCUCUGGGCCAUUACUGACACUGAGAAGCGAAAGCAUGGGGAGCGAACAGGAUUAGAUACCCUGGUAGAAUCACUAAUG